RNAcentral lists this ribosomal RNA (253 nucleotides) under uncultured bacterium. Its description in RNAcentral is "partial 16S ribosomal RNA". It matches the Rfam family "Bacterial small subunit ribosomal RNA", at positions 524 to 776 of the family's 1533-position model. The record is from RNAcentral.
UACAGGGGAUGCAAGCGUUAUCCGGAAUUAUUGGGCGUAAAGGGUCCUGAGGUGGCUAUCCAAGUCUAUUGUGAAAUAUCAGGGCUUAACCCUGAACAUGCGGUGGAAACUAGAAAGCUUGAGUACAGUAGGGGCGGAGGGAAUUUCCGGUGGAGCGGUGAAAUGCAUAGAUAUCGGGAAGAACACCAACGGCGAAAGCACUCCGCUGGGCUGAUACUGACACUGAGGCACGAAAGUGUGGGGAUCAAACAGG